CCUACGGGGUGCAGCAGUGGGGAAUAUUGCACAAUGGGGGAAACCCUGAUGCAGCGACGCCGCGUGAGUGAAGAAGUAUCUCGGUACGUAAAGCUCUAUCAGCAGGGAAGAAAAUGACGGUACCUGACUAAGAAGCCCCGGCUAACUACGUGCCAGCAGCCGCGGUAAUACGUAGGGGGCAAGCGUUAUCCGGAUUUACUGGGUGUAAAGGGAGCGUAGAAGGCAGCAAAAGUCUGGAGUGAACUCCCGGGGCUUAACCCCGGAACUGCUUUGGAAACUGUGCGGCUGGAGUGCAGGAGGGGUAAGCGGAAGUCCUAGUGUAGCGGUGAAAUGCGUAGAUAUUAGGAGGAACACCGGUGGCGAAGGCGGCUUACUGGACUGUAACUGACGUUGAGGCUCGAAAGCGUGGGGAGCAAACAGGAUUAGAGACCCGGGUAGUC
This 440-nucleotide ribosomal RNA is filed under the name uncultured bacterium. RNAcentral describes it as "partial 16S ribosomal RNA". It matches the Rfam family "Bacterial small subunit ribosomal RNA", at positions 338 to 795 of the family's 1533-position model. The record is from RNAcentral.